RNAcentral lists this ribosomal RNA (567 nucleotides) under uncultured Glomeromycotina. Its description in RNAcentral is "SSU rRNA". It matches the Rfam family "Eukaryotic small subunit ribosomal RNA", at positions 548 to 1114 of the family's 1831-position model. Lineage: Eukaryota; Fungi; Glomeromycota. The record is from RNAcentral.
UUGGAGGGCAAGUCUGGUGCCAGCAGCCGCGGUAAUUCCAGCUCCAAUAGCGUAUAUUAAAGUUGUUGCAGUUAAAAAGCUCGUAGUUGAACUUCGGGGUUUACCCAUCGGUCAGGCUUAAUUGUCUGUACUGGUGAGAUAAAUCUCUACCUUCUGAGGAACUUUCAUGCCAUUUAUUUGGUGUGAUUGGAAAUCAGGACUAUUACUUUGAAAAAAUUAGAGUGUUUAAAGCAGGCUAACGUCUGAAUAUAUUAGCAUGGAAUAAUGAAAUAGGACGGCUUGGUUCUAUUUCGUUGGUUUCUAGGAUCACCGUAAUGAUUAAUAGGGAUAGUUGGGGGCAUUAGUAUUCAAUUGUCAGAGGUGAAAUUCUUGGAUUUAUUGAAGACUAACUACUGCGAAAGCAUUUGCCAAGGAUGCUUUCAUUAAUCAAGAACGAAAGUUAGGGGAUCGAAGACGAUCAGAUACCGUCGUAGUCUUAACCAUAAACUAUGCCGACUAGGGAUCGGACGAAGUUAAUUUUAUAAUGACGCGUUCGGCACCUUACGGGAAACCAAAGUGUUUGGGUUC